Molecule: ribosomal RNA, 533 nt
Filed under: uncultured bacterium
Lineage: Bacteria
Description: bacterial SSU rRNA
Rfam family: Bacterial small subunit ribosomal RNA
Source: RNAcentral
GGAAAGAUUUAUCGGAGAAGGAUCGGCCCGCGUUGGAUUAGGUAGUCGGUGAGGUAACGGCUCACCAAGCCGACGAUCCAUAGCUGGUUUGAGAGGAUGAUCAGCAACACUGGGACUGAGACACGGCCCAGACUCCUACGGGAGGCAGCAGUGGGGAAUCUUAGACAAUGGGGGAAACCCUGAUCUAGCCAUGCCGCGUGAGUGACGAAGGCCCUAGGGUCGUAAAGCUCUUUCGCCAGGGAAGAUAAUGACUGUACCUGGUAAAGAAACCCCGGCUAACUCCGUGCCAGCAGCCGCGGUAAUACGGAGGGGGUUAGCGUUGUUCGGAAUUACUGGGCGUAAAGCGCACGUAGGCGGAUUAGUCAGUCAGAGGUGAAAUCCCAGGGCUCAACCCUGGAACUGCCUUUGAUACUGCUAGUCUUGAGUUCGAGAGAGGUGAGUGGAAUUCCGAGUGUAGAGGUGAAAUUCGUAGAUAUUCGGAGGAACACCAGUGGCGAAGGGGCUCACUGGCUCGAUACUGACGCUGAGGUGCG